RNAcentral lists this ribosomal RNA (556 nucleotides) under Dicranema revolutum. RNAcentral describes it as "eukaryotic LSU rRNA". It matches the Rfam family "Eukaryotic large subunit ribosomal RNA", at positions 364 to 1006 of the family's 3401-position model. The record is from RNAcentral. Lineage: Eukaryota; Rhodophyta; Florideophyceae; Gigartinales; Dicranemataceae.
AUGAAAAGCACUUUGAAAAGAGGGUGAAAAGAACCUGAAACCGUCACGGGGGAAGCGGAUCGCGUUGGCCUGGUGGGCGCUUGUGUGUUCAGCCUUUUUGGGUGCAUUGGCACAAGUGCUUAUCCGUCGUGGGUUUCCGGGGAUUGACAAUGAAUCGCCGGGGGCUGAGGGCUCCCUUCGGGUGAGGACGACGGAGCGACGACGCGAUACGACCCGUCUUGAAACACGGACCAAGGAGUCUAGCGCGGGUGCGAGUCGGAGGGUGCAAGCCCGUGGGCGUAGUGAAAGCGAGUGUAAAAACGAGCAGUUUGAGGCGGCAUAAGAUCGUUGAUCUUAAGACCGACCUAGAGCAGUUGCGCUGGGACCCGAAAGAUGGUGAACUAUGCCGGAGUAGGGCAAAGCCAGAGGAAACUCUGGUGGAGGCUCGUAGCGGUGCUGACGUGCAAAUCGCUCGUCCAACUUGGGUAUAGGGGCGAAAGACUAAUCGAACCAUCUAGUAGCUGGUUCCCUCCGAAGUUUCUCUCAGGAUAGCGGGCCGACACGCGUUGUUUUGUGC